This 253-nucleotide ribosomal RNA is filed under the name uncultured bacterium. RNAcentral describes it as "partial 16S ribosomal RNA". It matches the Rfam family "Bacterial small subunit ribosomal RNA", at positions 524 to 776 of the family's 1533-position model. The record is from RNAcentral.
UACGAAGGGGGCUAGCGUUGCUCGGAUUGACUGGGCGUAAAGGGCGCGUAGGCGGUUCGUACAGUCAGACGUGAAAUUCCUGGGCUCAACCUGGGGGCUGCGUUUGAUACGUGCGGACUUGAGUGCGGAAGAGGGUCGUGGAAUUCCCAGUGUAGAGGUGAAAUUCGUAGAUAUUGGGAAGAACACCGGUGGCGAAGGCGGCAUCCUGGACCGACACUGACGCUGAGGAGCGAAAGCCAGGGGAGCAAACGGG